This 529-nucleotide microRNA precursor is filed under the name Salvelinus alpinus (Arctic char). RNAcentral's name for it is "miR-219-3p_219-5p". Lineage: Eukaryota; Metazoa; Chordata; Actinopteri; Salmoniformes; Salmonidae. The record is from RNAcentral.
UGUGAAUUCUGCACUACACCGAGAAAUCUGUGUCUGGACAUCUGUUGCUGGAGGUCCUUUCACAUCAGUGACGUUAAUAAGAGGUCUUAGACUUGUCACAAUAGUCAAAUUUCUUAUUGGGAAAUCAGCAUUCUUGUAUGUAUUAUUAGAUUUAUUCAUUAUCCCGCCAAUUAGGCUAUCCAAAACCGCCUCACGAUUAUGUUAAACUAAACGUAAUUGUAUAGGCUGCAGUAGCCUACAAAUGUGUAGCCUACAUGAAUUAACAUUCAAUCAAUAAUGCUUUAAUUAGCCCUAAGCCUACAUAACUUUUGGAGGAGCAAGCUGUUUGCCAUAUAGUAGCCUAAAAACGUUCAGAAUUUGUUUCAGAAGAAGUUGUUCAAAUGACACAACUAGGCCUACAGUUUAUUUUGAGUAGAUCUAGGGCUCAAUCCCACGAAGAGAAGAUUUCAACGUUUUCUAUGUUUUUCUUCUUCCUGCUUUCGAUUGCCCUUAAGCAACGAUUGGUUUAUUGUCGCUCCACUGGUGUGCU